UAAGACACUUAACUCCAGGUUGCUCCGGGGGGAUUGUCCCUGUAAUAAGUGCUCUGUAUAAUACAUUGGUACUCAGAAGGUUGCUGGUUCGAUCCCCACAGUCACCACCAUUGUGUCCUUGAGUAAGACACUUAACUCCAGGUUGCUCCGGGGGGAUUGUCCCUGUAAUAAGUGCUCUGUAUAAUACAUUGGUACUCAGAAGGUUGCUGGUUCGAGCCCCACAGUCACCACCAUUGUGUCCUUGAGUAAGACACUUAACUCCAGGUUGCUCCGGGGGGAUUGUCCCUGUAAUAAGUGCUCUGUAUAAUACAUUGGUACUCAGAAGGUUGCUGGUUUGAUCCCCACAGUCACCACCAUUGUGUCCUUGAGUAAGACACUUAACUCCAGGUUGCUCCGGGGGGAUUGUCCCUGUAAUAAGUGCUCUGUAUAAUACAUUGGUACUCAGAAGGUUGCUGGUUUGAUCCCCACAGUCACCACCAUUGUGUCCUUGAGUAAGACACUUAACUCCAGGUUGCUCCGGGGGAUUGUCCCUGUAAUAAGUGCUCUGUAUAAUACAUUGGUACUCAGAAGGUUGCUGGUUUGAUCCCCACAGUCA
Long non-coding RNA from Xyrauchen texanus (razorback sucker), 595 nucleotides. RefSeq lists it as uncharacterized. NCBI's taxonomy places the organism in Eukaryota, Metazoa, Chordata, Actinopteri, Cypriniformes, Catostomidae. The transcript is spliced from 3 exons. The record is from RefSeq and is a predicted model, not a curated record.